GAACUGAGACACGGUCCAAACUCCUACGGGAGGCAGCAGUGAGGAAUAUUGGUCAAUGGACGAGAGUCUGAACCAGCCAAGUAGCGUGCAGGAUGACGGCCCUAUGGGUUGUAAACUGCUUUUAUAAGGGAAUAUAGUGAGUCUCGUGAGACUUUUUGCAUGUACCUUAUGAAUAAGGACCGGCUAAUUCCGUGCCAGCAGCCGCGGUAAUACGGAAGGUCCGGGCGUUAUCCGGAUUUAUUGGGUUUAAAGGGAGCGUAGGCCGGAGAUUAAGCGUGUUGUGAAAUGUAGACGCUCAACGUCUGCACUGCAGCGCGAACUGGUUUCCUUGAGUACGCACAAAGUGGGCGGAAUUCGUGGUGUAGCGGUGAAAUGCUUAGAUAUCACGAAGAACUCCGAUUGCGAAGGCAGCUCACUGGAGCGCAACUGACGCUGAAGCUCGAAAGUGCGGGUAUCGAACAGGAUUAGAUACCCUGGUAGUCCGCACGGUAAACGAUGGAUGCCCGCUGUUGGUCUGAAUAGGUCAGCGGCCAAGCGAAAGCAUUAAGCAUCCCACCUGGGGAGUACGCCGGCAACGGUGCAACUCAAAGGAAUUGA
Molecule: ribosomal RNA, 597 nt
Filed under: uncultured organism
Description: bacterial SSU rRNA
Rfam family: Bacterial small subunit ribosomal RNA
Source: RNAcentral